RNAcentral lists this ribosomal RNA (253 nucleotides) under uncultured bacterium. RNAcentral describes it as "partial 16S ribosomal RNA". It matches the Rfam family "Bacterial small subunit ribosomal RNA", at positions 524 to 776 of the family's 1533-position model. The record is from RNAcentral.
UACAGAGGGGGCAAGCGUUGUUCGGAAUUACUGGGCGUAAAGGGCGCGUAGGCGGCCUUCUAAGUCAGACGUGAAAUCCCCGGGCUCAACCCGGGAGCUGCGUCUGAGACUGGAAGGCUCGAAUCCGGGAGAGGGAUGUGGAAUUCCAGGUGUAGCGGUGAAAUGCGUAGAUAUCUGGAGGAACACCGGUGGCGAAGGCGGCAUCCUGGACCGGUAUUGACGCUGAGGCGCGAAAGCCAGGGGAGCAAACGGG